Molecule: small RNA, 1738 nt
Filed under: Pongo abelii (Sumatran orangutan)
Lineage: Eukaryota; Metazoa; Chordata; Mammalia; Primates; Hominidae
Description: sense overlapping
Source: RNAcentral
UUUCUUUUCCGGACCCUGCAGUGGCGCCUAAAGUCUGCGAGAAGGAAAUCGCCUCUGUGCUCAUCAGCCAAUCAGCGUCGCCGCGGUUCCUGGUUCUAAAGUCCUCGCCGGCCCACCGGGACUCAGAUUCUCCCCAGACGCCAAGGAUGCGGGUCAUGGCGUCCCGAACCCUCCUCCUGCUGCUCUCGGGAGCCGUGGUCCUGAUCCAGACCUGGGCAGAUUACAAUUACAAUCAAGGCAGAAAUGAUCUCAUUUUUACACAAUUUUCAGCAUUCUUUACGGCCAGCAGCCCUUGGUUGGUGCAGAUGGUGAUAGGACCAGUGGGUCCCACAGCCAUUGCCACACUGCACCUCCUUCCCUGUCAAGUGCGUCCCCCAUGAAGAUACUGCAUGGAGAGCACUGCCAAGCCUGUGGAUCAGGAAUAUCAACAGCCCCCAGAGAGUGGUGCUGGCUGAGGGUCUGAGAGCAGGACAGGAAAACCCACCUAUGGAAUAGGUGCCUAUCCCUGUGAAGAUGAACCUCUGGCCUUUCCAGGAUGGAAGGAGUGCAAUGUAGUCAACUCCUCACUUAGGGUAUGAUUGGUCACCUAAAGAAAUAGAGCCCUACCAGGUAACAUCAUUGGGUUCAAAUGCUGAUGAGUAGGACAUUUAGAGGUGGCAGCAUCUGGAUCUACCUUGGUAGCAGGGAGUCAGUACUGUUGGACCCAUAGGUAGCCUCAUCCCUGACACUGUGUUUGCUCCAUUUAUGUACCCAUCCUACCCGACCUGGGCUGACCCAUGGGGAAGGCUGGCUAAUUUCAAUGCUUCUGCUUCGUUUUUCAGGGCCAUUUCAGGUUUGGGUGUUUUCUGGGGAUGUUAACAUGGGAUUCAGGCUCAACUCACAUGAAACAUUUCCAUCUCAAGAUGGAUGCUGUUGGGCAUGUCCAAUGUAUGACUUCAUGAGUUACACAGAUGCUAAUUCGUAGGGGCACUUGGAAUCACAUGGUUGUUUUGUGUCCCAUGGUCAAGCAUUCUAUCUUAUCAGGGCCAGGAACAUGCCAAAAGUUGCUUCCAACAUAUUUCUCUGCUUUGGAUGGGGCAUAUUUCUCUGCUGUGGAUGACAUGGCCUUACUCCAGAAUCCCAGGCCCUCCAUUGUGACUCUCCUACUGGUGCUUGGUUCAGCUCCAUCCCAAAUCUUACCCCACCACUGGCACUUUCAGCACCAGGGGGUCUGAAGGAUGGUGACUGCGCCAUGGCCUGGAUCUGCUGCAGUGUCCUUUCCUGUGGAGGCUCCACUCAAAGCUGGCAUCCUCCUAUGUCACCUUGAGUGUGGGCCAAAGCAAUAUACCUACAUGUAGAAUGUGAUGUCAGAACUCAAACAGGUUCACCAGGCAGUGUGCUUCCUUCCUUGCAUGAGAAUGCAAGAUGCAACAGUUUAUUUUUCACAUUGGAAGGGACACCCCUGGAUGCCCCUAACCACUGGACCUGUAAAACUUCUCUGCAGUGGCCAUUUCUGAAUCUCUGUAAGGUUUAUCUUCAUCCUCUCUAGAGAAGAUGUUUUACCAAAGCCUCCAGUGUACUUUCCUCCUCUUGCUCAUCCAUCCCGGUCAACAUGAUGUUGUCAAUGAAAUAAAGGAAUUUAAUAUUCUAUAGGAUAUCCAGGUUCUCCAGAUCUCUUAAGACUGUACUAUAGAGGGCUGGGGAAUUAUAAUAGCCCUGAGGCAAACUAUAAAUUAAAGUGUUGUGAAUCCCACAUGAA